RNAcentral lists this ribosomal RNA (229 nucleotides) under uncultured bacterium. RNAcentral describes it as "partial 16S ribosomal RNA". It matches the Rfam family "Bacterial small subunit ribosomal RNA", at positions 524 to 751 of the family's 1533-position model. The record is from RNAcentral.
UACGUAGGGGGCAAGCGUUGUCCGGAUUUAUUGGGCGUAAAGAGCGUGUAGGCGGUUUGGUAGGUCCGCUGUGAAAACUCGAGCUCAACCUCGAGACGCCGGUGGAAACCAUCAGACUAGAGUCCGGAAGAGGAGAGUGGAAUUCCUGGUGUAGAGGUGAAAUUCGUAGAUAUCAGGAGGAACACCAGUGGCGAAGGCGGCUUUCGUGGACGGUAACUGACGCAUGAGA